This 494-nucleotide ribosomal RNA is filed under the name uncultured bacterium. RNAcentral's name for it is "partial 16S ribosomal RNA". It matches the Rfam family "Bacterial small subunit ribosomal RNA", at positions 28 to 507 of the family's 1533-position model. The record is from RNAcentral.
GACGAACGCUGGCGGCGCGCUUAACACAUGCAAGUCGAACGGAAAGGCCUGAUUUCCCUUGUGGAUUGCGGGUACUCGAGUGGCGAACGGGUGAGUAACACGUGAGUGAUCUGCCCCCAACUUGGGUAUAAGCCUGGGAAACUGGGUCUAAUUCCCGAUAGGACUGCAGGGUGGUGCCUGUGGUGGAAAACGAUUUUCUAGUGGUUGGGGAUGAGCUCGCGGCCUAUCAGCUUGUUGGUGGGGUAAUGGCCUACCAAGGCGGCGACGGGUAGCCGGCCUGAGAGGGUGGACGGCCACAUUGGGACUGAGAUACGGCCCAGACUCCUACGGGAGGCAGCAGUGGGGAAUAUUGCACAAUGGGCGGAAGCCUGAUGCAGCGACGCCGCGUGGGGGAUGACGGCCUUCGGGUUGUAAACUCCUUUCGACCGCGAGGAAGCCACCUGGUUGGAAGGGUGGUGACGGUAGUGGUAGAAGAAGCACCGGCUAACUACGUG